AUCCAGCUGACGAGUCCCAAAUAGGACGAAACACGCGUCCUGAAU
Schistosoma mansoni is the source of this 45-nucleotide non-coding RNA. The record is from Rfam. NCBI's taxonomy places the organism in Eukaryota, Metazoa, Platyhelminthes, Trematoda, Strigeidida, Schistosomatidae.